RNAcentral lists this long non-coding RNA (396 nucleotides) under Gossypium raimondii (Peruvian cotton). RNAcentral's name for it is "long non-coding RNA (GRAI_LNC000630)". The record is from RNAcentral. Lineage: Eukaryota; Viridiplantae; Streptophyta; Magnoliopsida; Malvales; Malvaceae.
CCUCCCUCCCUCUCUCUCUCUGCAACCAUGACUGCCACGAUGGGUCCACCGCCUCCCAGGAACCCUAACCCCUCGACCGAACCCGAGUCGAUAGCCCAAGAAGAAUCCGAACCCAGAACAGCCAAAACCACGAUGGGUCCUCCGCCACCUCUUCCCAUAAACCCUAACCCCUCGACCGAACCCGAGUCGAUAGCCCCAGAAGAAUCCGAACUCAUAACAGCCAAAACCACGAUGGGUCCUCCGCCACCUCUUCCCAUAAACCCUAACCUGCAAAAUCCCCUAGACGAAGAAGAACCAUCGAACUCAAAGUCAGAACCAAAUUCAACUGAAAAGCCCUUAAAUCCAAAGCAAUCUUCUGUGCCUUACACAAUCCCUCCGUGGAGUGGACCUCCUUGU